UCUUGGUUUGAUUGAUUGGCUAUAGUCCUU
This 30-nucleotide non-coding RNA is filed under the name Mus musculus (house mouse). Lineage: Eukaryota; Metazoa; Chordata; Mammalia; Rodentia; Muridae. The record is from RNAcentral.